Myxocyprinus asiaticus (Chinese sucker) is the source of this 1596-nucleotide long non-coding RNA. RefSeq lists it as uncharacterized. NCBI's taxonomy places the organism in Eukaryota, Metazoa, Chordata, Actinopteri, Cypriniformes, Catostomidae. The transcript has 2 exons. The record is from RefSeq and is a predicted model, not a curated record.
GACGUAAUCACAGCAGCUGAUGCGGGCUCGCGGAGGCGGAUCAAGGGUUUCUUUCAUACGGCCCGUUAUAUUUUCACAAAACAUUUGAUUGUACGAAUGAUAAGCCACAUUGCUUUAGUGAUUCAACUGACUUCUGCGAUCCUUCGGUGGGGGGACGGGGUGAGUGAGGGCUGCUGUCAGGACCCCACACUGUGGGGUAGCCACACACUCAAUGGUGUCUCCCACAAUGAGGGCAUUGGUGGAUGCAGUUUGGGCAGUGUGGAGCAUCGGGGCCUCAAUCUAUGACUACAUUCACACCAGUGCCAUGGAAGAGCGAAUUCACACACUUGAAAGCGCUCUUACCGUCCACCAGUGUGUCAUCGGCCUACUGUCUGCUGGACUAGUGGCCCUCUUCACCUACAUUCUCCUGAGAAAGCACUGACUCAGGAUGUCUGCCAUUGUUCUGAAUGGGAUGACUGCAUGAGACUACAGUGGUGACAUCAGAGGGAAUUCUUAGACCAUGUUGGUGUCAAGCAAUGUCCAUUUCACCUGAAAGGGAUUUCAACAUGUCAGACUUUCACCUAAGCAGUUACUUACUAAACUUCAUUACCUGUUUGUAGUUCUAAGUUUACUGACUUAUCAUCAGAGUUGAUGGUUUUCCGAUUAAUCUGGUAAUCUAUUUAAUUGUUCUUUUGAUAAAAAAAAAAAAAAUAUUAAAAAAAAAACUUCCACAGUUUGUUCAUUUACAGCUGCCAUGGAGAGAAGGAUUAAACGAAAUAAGAGCUACCUGCCCAAUGCUCUUUACACAAGCUUGGUAACAGCUAAACAUUCAAUAUUCCAAUGAAGACUAAAUAUGUAAUUCUAUUUAUUUUGUUACCCUAUGACAUCUCAUAAGGCUAAUUUCUCAGAUCCAUGGUACAGUCCGGAGUUAUAUUUAUUUAUUAAAGGGGUUCAAUGAAAUAAAUUAUACACUUGAUUUCAAAGCUUGAUAAGAGAACUUGAAGUGUCCUUAAUCCCAAAAGGCAUCUGAUGUAGUUUUCAAUGUAUUUCCUACUUUAACUACUUAAGUGACAUUGAAUCUAGUUGCAACAUUUAAGGUAAGUCUUUACUUAAAUUUUCUUUGUAAAAGUUCAUGUGAAAUCUGUUUAUUUGCCAUCUGUGUCUUUUAACAGGUUUUAAUUCUUACCUUUCUCAUGUUUCCUCAAAAUACUUUGAGGUAAACAGUAAAAAAAAAAAAAAAAAAAAAUUGCACAGCUAGUAGUUAUACCUGCUCUGUAAUAGCAAAAAUAAUGUCUAGCUUUAUAUGGUGUAAUACUAGCAUUUCAUGUUUCAGCAAACCAUCAAGAUGUGAUGCAGAAUAAUGUAAGUCACUGUAUUCUGACUGUAAAUCACUGUUACCUACUACUGACUGCAGACAACAGCUUUUCACAUUGUGUUUUUAUUUUUGUUUUAAAGUGGUGCGCUGGUGUAAGACACCAUCUGCCCAUGUACAAUGUAAACAUUUAUUUAACAUUAGACAAUAUCAUAAUAAAAUGUAUUUUCUGGAAAAACAGGAAGGAACAAAUGUGUACACAGACAUUUCAAAAGGCAAAAAAUAAAGUGCCUACAUGGUCACAA